GAUGAAGAACGCAGCGAAAUGCGAUACGUAAUGUGAAUUGCAGAAUUCAGUGAAUCAUCGAAUCUUUGAACGCACAUUGCGCCCGCUAGUAUUCUGGCGGGCAUGCCUGUUCGAGCGUCAUUUCAACCAUCAAGCUCCUUAGCUUGUGUUGGGGACCUGCGGCUGCCGCAGCCCCCGAAAUGCAGUGGCGGGCUCGUUGUCACACCGAGUGCAGUAAUCAUUCUUCUCUCCGGGCGUGGCGGCGGGUUCCGGCCGUAAAAUCACCAAUUUAUCAAGGUUGACCUCGGAUCAGGUAGGAAUACCCGCUGAACUUAAGCAUAUCAAUAAGCGGAGGA
Molecule: unclassified non-coding RNA, 335 nt
Filed under: soil metagenome
Description: partial contains 5.8S ribosomal RNA, internal transcribed spacer 2, and large subunit ribosomal RNA
Rfam family: 5.8S ribosomal RNA (bases 1-120)
Source: RNAcentral